Molecule: ribosomal RNA, 746 nt
Filed under: Micrococcus sp.
Lineage: Bacteria; Bacillati; Actinomycetota; Actinomycetes; Micrococcales; Micrococcaceae
Description: bacterial SSU rRNA
Rfam family: Bacterial small subunit ribosomal RNA
Source: RNAcentral
GGGUGGAUUAGUGGCGAACGGGUGAGUAACACGUGAGUAACCUGCCCUUAACUCUGGGAUAAGCCUGGGAAACUGGGUCUAAUACCGGAUAGGAGCGUCCACCGCAUGGUGGGUGUUGGAAAGAUUUAUCGGUUUUGGAUGGACUCGCGGCCUAUCAGCUUGUUGGUGAGGUAAUGGCUCACCAGGGCGACGACGGGUAGCCGGCCUGAGAGGGUGACCGGCCACACUGGGACUGAGACACGGCCCAGACUCCUACGGGAGGCAGCAGUGGGGAAUAUUGCACAAUGGGCGCAAGCCUGAUGCAGCGACGCCGCGUGAGGGAUGACGGNCUUCGGGUUGUAACCUCUUUCGUAGGGAAGAAGCGAAGUGACGGUCCUGCAAAGAACACCGGCUACUACGUGCCACAGCCGCGGUAANACGUAGGGUGCGAGCGUUAUCCGGAAUUAUUGGGCGUAAAGAGCUCGUAGGCGGUUUGUCGCGUCUGUCGUGAAAGUCCGGGGCUUAACCCCGGAUCUGCGGUGGGUACGGGCAGACUAGAGUGCAGUAGGGGAGACUGGAAUUCCUGGUGUAGCGGUGGAAUGCGCAGAUAUCAAGAAGAACCACCGAUGGCGAAGGCAGGUCUCUGGGCUGUAACUGACGCUGAGGAGCGAAAGCAUGGGGAGCGAACAGGAUUAGAUACCCUGGUAGUCCAUGCCGUANACGUUGGGCACUAGGUGUGGGGACCAUUCCACGGUUUCCGCGCCGCA